Molecule: ribosomal RNA, 461 nt
Filed under: uncultured bacterium
Lineage: Bacteria
Description: partial 16S ribosomal RNA
Rfam family: Bacterial small subunit ribosomal RNA
Source: RNAcentral
GACGAACGCUGGCGGCGUGCUUAACACAUGCAAGUCGAGCGGUAAGGCCUUUCGGGGUACCCGAGCGGCGAACGGGUGAGUAACACGUGGGUGAUCUGCCCUGCACUUCGGGAUAAGCCUGGGAAACUGGGUCUAAUACCGGAUAUGACCUCCUAUCGCAUGGUGGGUGGUGGAAAGAUUUAUCGGUGCAGGAUGGGCCCGCGGCCUAUCAGCUUGUUGGUGGGGUAAUGGCCUACCAAGGCGACGACGGGUAGCCGACCUGAGAGGGUGACCGGCCACACUGGGACUGAGACACGGCCCAGACUCCUACGGGAGGCAGCAGUGGGGAAUAUUGCACAAUGGGCGAAAGCCUGAUGCAGCGACGCCGCGUGAGGGAUGACGGCCUUCGGGUUGUAAACCUCUUUCAGCAGGGACGAAGCGCAAGUGACGGUACCUGCAGAAGAAGCACCGGCUAACUACGU